UGACCUCGGAUCAGGUAGGAAUACCCGCUGAACUUAAGCAUAUCAAUAAGCGGAAGGAACUUGUUACAACUUAAGCAUAUCAAUAAGCGGAAGGAACUUGUUACNACUUUUACUUCCAA
This 119-nucleotide ribosomal RNA is filed under the name Fusarium decemcellulare. RNAcentral's name for it is "partial 28S ribosomal RNA". The record is from RNAcentral. Lineage: Eukaryota; Fungi; Ascomycota; Sordariomycetes; Hypocreales; Nectriaceae.